Molecule: ribosomal RNA, 379 nt
Filed under: uncultured bacterium
Lineage: Bacteria
Description: bacterial SSU rRNA
Rfam family: Bacterial small subunit ribosomal RNA
Source: RNAcentral
UAAAACGUAGGAGACAAACGUUAUCCGGAGUUACUGGGCGUAAAGGGCGUGCAGGCGGUUGAUUAAGUCUAGCGUGAAAGCUCCCGGCUAAACCGGGAGAGGUCGUUGGAUACUGGUUGACUAGAGGACGGUAGAGGCGAGUGGAAUUCCGGGUGUAGUGGUGAAAUGCGUAGAGAUCCGGAGGAACACCAGUGGCGAAGGCGACUCGCUGGGCCGUACCUGACGCUAAGACGCGACAGCAUGGGGAGCGAACGGGAUUAGAAACCCCGGUAGUCCAUGCCGUAAACGAUGCCAGCUCGGUGUUCGAUCUCCGCAAGGGGAUGGGGUACCCAAGCAAACGCGGUAAGCUGGCCGCCUGGGGAGUACGGUCGCAAGGCUA